UACGAAGGGGGCGAGCGUUGUUCGGAAUUACUGGGCGUAAAGGGCGCGUAGGCGGCCUGUUAAGUCGAACGUGAAAUCCCCGGGCUCAACCCGGGAACUGCGUCCGAUACUGGCAGGCUUGAAUUCGGGAGAGGGAUGCGGAAUUCCAGGUGUAGCGGUGAAAUGCGUAGAUAUCUGGAGGAACACCGGUGGCGAAGGCGGCAUCCUGGACCGAGAUUGACGCUGAGGCGCGAAAGCCAGGGGAGCAAACGGG
This 253-nucleotide ribosomal RNA is filed under the name uncultured bacterium. RNAcentral describes it as "partial 16S ribosomal RNA". It matches the Rfam family "Bacterial small subunit ribosomal RNA", at positions 524 to 776 of the family's 1533-position model. The record is from RNAcentral.